RNAcentral lists this long non-coding RNA (208 nucleotides) under Elaeis guineensis (African oil palm). Its description in RNAcentral is "long non-coding RNA (EGUI_LNC052496)". Lineage: Eukaryota; Viridiplantae; Streptophyta; Magnoliopsida; Arecales; Arecaceae. The record is from RNAcentral.
UCUUACAACCUAUCUUAGUUUUAGGACAAGGCUUUGAGAUUUAAGACAAAGCCUUAUCUGAUCCAAACAAAGGUUGUGAGGAUCCUAAAGAAGGAGAAUCAGAAGUUCAGAGGAAGUUCUAAGAGGAUCGAGUCAGAUUUUUAGAAAAACCUGACUGAUACAGGGCUAGUCGAGUUUUAGGGGCUAGAACUCUUGAAGCAAGGUGAAG